UGGGGAAGGGUUUCUUUCUGGAGAUCUCUUUUUUGUAGUGCUUUUCAUUGCAAGCCUAAAUCUUCAGGUACAGGAGCUUCCUAGAGUCACGGUGGCACAGCUGGAGUCACCAGUCAUUUCCAGAUGGAGCUAUGAGGAUUGUUGAGAAUACAUCCAGCUGGAAAAGUGCCAGAAGCAUCACUCAUGUCAUGCAAGAAGAAAGACUUAGAGAGUCCUGGGCUCCCUUCAUGGAACAGUGGUCUUUAUCCCCUUACCAGUAAACUGAGAGAUGUAAUAAUCUCUCCACUUCUGUUCUGGCAGCAAGAACAAUACUAACGAAGCAUUUGGCUACUGCUGGCCCCCGAACAGCCCUGCACAUUUAAGUCCUGAGGUAUGUGAAAGGCUCAAAGAUUUGUUUUUACCUCAGCUUCUCUGCUUAUGGAUAUUAAAAUUUACUCUGACCUUUUGGUUCCUUUCACAAUGUGACCAUUUUCAGGCAUCAUUUUGACCAAAUCACAUAUUGUACAAGAGUAAGUUUUCUUCCCCCUCCCCCCCCCUUUAUUUUUUUUUCUUUUUUCCCAUUACCAAUAAUGGUCUUUGAAAGAAGAAGUGGCAAAAGAAAAAUUACAAUAUACGUUGUACUAGGCAUUGCAUCUGAUUGUUUUUUUCACUGGGGAUAUACUAAGAUAAAACUGAAACUGUAUGGAAAGAAUGAAGAAAAGCAGAAAUGUUCACACAUGGUAGCAGUUGGAUGGAAGGCAGGCCAUCCAUCAGUAAAUAUCCAUUAGG
Molecule: long non-coding RNA, 768 nt
Organism: Lagopus muta (rock ptarmigan)
Lineage: Eukaryota; Metazoa; Chordata; Aves; Galliformes; Phasianidae
Exons: 4
Source: RefSeq, a predicted model, not a curated record